This 190-nucleotide unclassified non-coding RNA is filed under the name uncultured Tuberaceae. RNAcentral's name for it is "sequence contains ITS2". Lineage: Eukaryota; Fungi; Ascomycota; Pezizomycetes; Pezizales; Tuberaceae. The record is from RNAcentral.
UAAACCCCCUCACAUUUAUUGUGGUAUUGGCUGAAGUGGUGGGUAUUGUGCCCAACAGUCACUAUGCCGAAAUGUAUUGCGUGAAGGACUUAUACCAGUAACUGACUUUGUAAGUGUCAUUGAGGAUACAAAUCAGUCAGGAGUUAGUAGAGUUGCGCAUUCCUGGACCCCCAUCCAGUGUAAAGUCUUG